RNAcentral lists this long non-coding RNA (457 nucleotides) under Solanum lycopersicum (tomato). RNAcentral describes it as "long non-coding RNA (SLYC_LNC001001)". Lineage: Eukaryota; Viridiplantae; Streptophyta; Magnoliopsida; Solanales; Solanaceae. The record is from RNAcentral.
CCAUUGUAUUGGAAAUUACGUGCGUUGUUUGGCAUUCCGUAGUUAUUGGGAGGCACUCCACCCAUGUUUGGUGGCAUAUUCGGCUGCUGCAUCCCACCUCCACGGGGUGGCCCUCUCAUGUCCGGCUGCUGCAUCCCGCCUGCAUGAGGUGGUGGCCCUCCAUAGCCUUGCUGCUGCAUGGGUGGCCCUCUCAUGUCCGGCUGCUGCAUCCCGCCAGCAUGAGGUGGUGGCCCUCCAUAGCCUUGCUGCUGCAUGGGUGGUCCUCUCAUGUCCGGCUGCUGCAUACCGCCUGCAUGAGGUGGUGGCCCUCCAUAGCCUUGCUGCUGGUGCAUCCCGCCUGCAUGAGGUGGUGGCCCUCCCAUGCCUUGCUGCUGGUGCAUUCCACCCAUGUUAGGUUGCUGCAUGCCGCCCAUGUUGGGAGGCCCCCCUGCUGCCAUGUUAGAUCCAGGGUUCUGAC